Salvelinus fontinalis (brook trout) is the source of this 10439-nucleotide long non-coding RNA. RefSeq lists it as uncharacterized. The transcript is spliced from 2 exons. The record is from RefSeq and is a predicted model, not a curated record. Lineage: Eukaryota; Metazoa; Chordata; Actinopteri; Salmoniformes; Salmonidae.
UGGCGGCUCCUGACUGACGGAUGGCUCUAGGACAGACGGGCGGCACUGACGGCGCUGGACAGACGGGCGGCACUGGCGGCGCUGGACAGACGGGCAGCGCAGGUGGCGCUGGGUAGACGGGCAGCUCAGGCGGCGCUGGACAGACGGGCAGCUCAGGCGGCGCUGUACAGACGGGCAGCUCAGGAGGCGCUGGGCAGACGAGCAGCUCAGAUGGCGCUGGGCAGACGGGCAGCUCAGGCUUGCCGAUGCGCACUGUAGGCCUGGUGCCGGAACUGGUGCUACCGGGCUGGGGACACGCACCUCAAGGCUAGUGCGGGGAGGAGGAAUAGGGCAUAGUGGACCCUGGAGACGCACAGUAGGCCUGGUGCGUGGUGCCAGAACUGGUGGUACUGGGCUGGUGCGAGGGGCUGCCACCGGAGGGCUGGUAUGUGGAGGUGGCACCGGAUAGACCGGACCGUGAAGGCGUACUGGAGCUCUUGAGCACCGAGCCUGCCCAACCCUACUUGGCUGAAUGCUCCCCGUAGCCAGGCCAGUGCGGCGAGGUAGAAUAGCCCGCACUGGGCUGUGCUGGCGAACCGGGGACACCAUGCGUAGGGCUGGUGCCAUGUACACCGGCCCGAGGAGACGCACUGGAGACCAGAUGCGUUGAGCCGGCUUCAUGGCACCUGGCUCGAUGCCAACUCUAACCCGGCCGAUACGAGGAGCUGGGAUGUACCGCACCGGGCUAUGCACACGUACAGGAGACACCGUGCGUUCUUCCGCAUAACACGGUGUCUGCCCGUACUCUCGCUCUCCACGGUAAGCACGGGAAGUUGGCGCAGGUCUCCUACCUGACUUCGCCACACUCCCCUUUAGCCCCCUCCCACAAUAAUUUUUUUGGGCUUCCAACCGCGCCGCCGUGCUCGUUUCGCCAACUCCAUUCUCCUGUAUCCCUCCUCGCACUGCUCCAGCGAAUCCCAGGCGGGCUCCGGCACUCUCCCUGGGUCGACCGCCCAUCUGUCUAUCUCUUCCCAAGUAUUAUAGUCCAGAUCACGCUCCCAUGUCCAGAAAUUCACAACACGCUGUUCUUCUCUUUCACGCUGCUUGGUCCGAUUUUGGUGGGUUAUUCUGUCACGAUCGUCAUAACGUGGAAGAGAUUAGGACCAAGGCGCAGCAUGACGUGAAUGCAUUCUUCUCUAUUUAUUAUAACGAAAACGAAGAACACUUUACAAACUAUACAAAACAAUAAACGGCGACCGUGAAGCUAUAAAAUGACAAGUGCAGACACAGGCAACUUACAUAUAGACAUAGACAAUAACCCACAACCCACAAUACAAAACAGACUACCUAAAUAUGGUUCCCAUUCAGAGACAACACAAAACACCUGCCUCUGAUUGAGAACCAUAUCAGGCCAAACUAGAAAACCCCAGAUAGAAACAGACAACAUAGAACUGCCCACCCCAACUCAUGCCCUGACCAUACUAACUAAAGAAAAAACAAAGGAAAAUAAAGGUCAGAACGUGACAGGUCCGUACAAUUAACCUUAUUUUAGCUCCCCAAAAACAUAAUAAUUCCAGAUCAACUGUAAUGUCAAUACCAUUGUAAAGCACAAUUUCUCCCCUUUCCAACAAAAUUAAUGGCAUGACCUCCACACUGCCCGUUUCUGCAUAAUUCAAGAAGGCAAUGAGCUCCGUCGGGUCUUUUUUUAAAUGUCGGGUGGGGAAUUGAAACUAAUGCGUGAUAGUGAGAAGGAGAGGAGAUGUGUGGGAAAAUGGCUUUUUUUCACUCGAUCUGUCCAACGUAUCACCGUAUCGCCUCUAAAAUAUAUAUAAAAAACACUAUAAAGAGUUUAUAUAAUGUGUCAUUACAUACCUAUUUGAAGGUUUGUUUCGAAUUUGAAUCAGGUUUUUAGGGCGGUGCUAAAGUGAUCUUUAGAAGUAAACAGCGGCUUUGAGAGUCAUUAUUGCUUACAGUGAUGAUGCAAAAAAUGGCUAGGUAUCCCCCCUUACCCCUGUCACUGUCCAUUUCUUGUUUUUAAAUUAUGAGAGAAGUGCUACACCUGGUGAAGAGAGAUUGUAAGACAGAAAUAGUUGCUUUAUGCGUACUGUGCGUUACAUGACACAUCAAGAUGUAACGGAUGGUCAGUUUUUUUCAACUUUUCUCCAAUACUAUAGAGCCAUUACCAUGCCGAUCAACGCUUGAAUAGAAACGUAGUUCACACCCCAGAUUUUGAAGUCAACACAGUCCCAUUAGUUUUCUUUGUAGCCUCGUUUGAAUGUCGCGGUUGCGCACAUGUGUACAGAAUGGGGUGAGUUUACGUUAGCUGGUUGCUUUAUGGGUGUUAUGACAUGAGUAUGAAAUUGUAUAAUAUUUUAGGGACUCCUGAAACAACCAGCAAACCAGGCUGUCAUCUUGUGAACAGUGGAUGUAAAUAGUCUAGCUAGCUAAAGCAUUUAUUGCAAAUUGAAUGUACAAUUUUGUAAGCUUGCCUUGUUGAUAUUUGCCAUGCAAUGCAGAUAUGGAAAAACGUAGCUAGCUAACUAUUUUCUUGCUUAUUGUGCAGUGGAUGAUAAAAAUAUCUGUAUGCCUAUGGAUGUGUAGCUAGCUAUGUAGCCGAUCUGUGUAUGGACCCUAAAACGCUUGGUAUACAUAUUAGUUCAGUACCUAGCUCAUAGGCGGAAAUCCCAGGGGGGACGGGGGGACGAUGACCCCCCCAUCCUGGGAAAAAUAUGAUUGUCCCCCCCAAUCUAUCACUGUAAACAUAACUAUGUAAUUUCAAUAAUAUUAAUAAUACGCAAUGAAAGCACUUGUGCUGAUUAUAGACACUUAAUAGUGCGUUUUUAAAUUUCAAAAGAUUGCGACCACCCCGCCCUUUGCCUCACAAUGGUUUGAUCCACUGCCAGUUCUUUAGCUGGCAAGGUAAUAGAGGGUUCGUAUCUACUGUCCGAAAGGCACUCAAUGUACGUAACUGACGUGAGGUUAAUCCAGUCAAUCGCGCCAUAGCAAUGUUUUUUUUUAUGUUGGCAGGGUUCACACACUAGCUGAAUUUGCAGAGCUAGCGCUCAAACUAAAGCAAACAUUAACUAGCAAGCUAGCUAGUACCUAUUCCAUUAAUGUGGCGUCGUCAAAGAUGGAAUCUUUGCUAUUGUCAGUUUAUUCCAAGAUCAGCAUGCAGCUGUAGUUCUUCAAAGUCCCUGUGAUAAGGUUAGCGAUAAACUGAAGUCCAAACUGAACAGAACUACACUCUCUUAUACCAUUGUCUUAAAUAUAUUUAAUGGUCUCGUUGCAAAAGCUAAAUUGUCGCUAGUGAACUUUUUUAAAUUUAUUUUAUUUAACCUUUAUUUAACCAGGUAGCAAAGAUUAUAGCAAACACCACAGAAACGAAAUUGGUGCUCGCUAGCUUUACAAAUUCAGCUAUUGUUGGAAGCCAGCCAAUAUGAAACAAACUAUAUUAAAAUGAGAAAAGGUUGCAGCAUAUGUUGUGUAAAUGUGUGUGUGUGCAGAUAGACCGGCCAGCCAGCCAGUCAGGUAAAAAAGACGGACAUCGGAGUAUUUUUCAGUACACCAAAACGCAAAGCAGAGCAGGCAACAGAUGGCACACAGACAGCAGAGCUGGGGACAGAUAUGCAGGGACAGACUGGCAGAGACAGGGAGUCUCACGUAAGUUUUUUGAGUCUUUGUUUGGCAACAUUAUGAAAGGUUCUCAAUUUUUUUGACUUGUAAAAUAGGGACAUAAUUGGAAAAUGCCAUGGAUACCUGUUAUGGGAUUUUUGUGUUUAAUGACUAAAAUAUGUAUACAUUUGACUUAGAUGUUACUGUAUGAAUGAAACUUAUUAUAACCAUAAUGCUGAAUAUUAUGUGUUCCUAAUUAGAAAGAAUGGAGUUAUCUUCAGACAGGCUGGAAUGCUGUGUUCCUUACAGGACAGUUUGUCUCUACCCAGGGAGGGAAAAGACCUUGGGUUGGUUGCAGAUAGUUUAAGUUGUCCUUGAUUUAAUGUUCUAAAAUGUUUAGAAUUUAUCAAUAAUAGGAGCUUUACUAUUCCAAACAGAUCCAAUGGGUUUUGUAUGACCAAUAUACAUGUAUCGAUAAUGGGGCAGGUCUGAAAUGACCUGAGGUAAGGUGCACUACCAUUAAAUAAAAAUACCUUAAUAGAUCCGGGUGCCUUAGGGGCCAGAGGGGUUAUUAAGAUGGAAUACUGAACAGGUGUUGACAGGUGCAGUCGUGUUGUGCAAAUAGGACAGCCAUUAAUUCAAAAGACAUACCUAAAUAAAGUUCUAACCUAAGUAGUCUGACUAUGAAACGGAACGGUAAAUAUAUUAAAAUAGGUGAGGAUAUAAACUAGGCUUUGUGAGAAGGAAGGGUGGUUCUGUUUGGGCAAGAUGACUGCACUUAUUCAAUACUGAAAGAAGUAUCAAAAAAGGAGGAGAGGGAAACCAAAAUCUAUAAAUCUGAGAUAAAAGCCAAAUCUAUAGACAAAAGGUUCCAGGAGAGAGGGAAACCUAAUAUGGCGGAGUAAGAUACGAGAUAUUAACUUUAAAAGUCCUAUGACACAAAAUAAUAGGUUAUUAACUGGGACUUUACGCCCCCGGGGAAAUAGCUUAUAUUUGUAUGGGUAAGAUUUAAUGUCCAAUAAAUGCAACGCUAUAGAUAAAGUUUCCAAAUGGGAAAACAACCAAAAUAAUUAGGUAAAUACUAACGGUAAAAACAGCACAUACAUAGAUCAUAGAAAAUUAUAAUAAUAGGACCAUAGCUACUAGGAGCGGCAAGGAUUUAUUAAACAUGGGCAGUAAAUCCUCCAAUGAGGUCCCGGAAUGGGCCGGAGUUUGCGAAUACAGAAAAUUGUAAUAAUAGGGUUAUUGGCUUCUUUAUUCCAAAAGUGAUGGUGGUUCAGGGGUUAAAUAACUGCCUUCCAAGCUUGAGACCUGACUUCGAUUUUACGGUAAAUGCUCUGACUAAAAUUUGAGUCUUUAAUUGUAAUUAAACCAUUUGUAUGUUUUGCCUGAGAAAAUACGGUCGUUAGUGUCGGUAUAGGAUAUAAACUGAAACGUUUUAAUAACUUGUUUAGGUUCAAAUGAAAGACUAAUCUAAUUCUAAAUGAUAGCGAUGCGCUUUCGAUGUGAUACGUUGUGUUGCCUCAAUGAUCUGCAUGAAUGAUAUAUUGAGACGGGAAUCGUAUUUAUAUUACUGAAUCGUAGAAGUGACAGUUACCUAAACCUGAUGAAUUCUAAAGAAUAAAGGAGAAAUAUGAUAAAGUUGUGCCCAUCGGAAUGUUAUAAUUCUUAUGGAUUGACUGACAUGCGAUAUAAAUUUAGCGAAGUAUAUGGUACGUUUACAUUUUGGAGUAGAGAAAGUUGAGAAGUUGAUUUUACUUUUACGAUAGUUUUGGUGCAAAACUCAGUUGGAGUAAGUAGAUGUUUUUGCCUAGAGGCAGGUUGACUGGUUGCAUAAUAACGUAAAACAACAUCAUCACGUGGAUACACAAUAACGUUACUCAAAUGGAUUUGACCAUUUUUCAGGUACUCUCUUUUCUGUACUUCUGGCAGUAUAAUUUUGAUUGAGAGAUGUUGAUUGACGUUGUAAAUUCUAUUCAAGAUCCAACAUUUGUAAAUUGGUUUUGGUUUAUCGAACCCGUACUAUUGCAGUUAGUCAACAAUGAUUUACAAUUCGUUGAAAGUUGCUGCGGCCUAAACACGGGCUGAGCGCUCGUUGUUGACAUCACUCACAAUGCACUUUUGCAACCAGGUAAUGAUGUUGUGACUGAGGGUGGGACAGAGAAAAUUGUUUGUGUCAUUUAGAGGGAAAAUGCGUGCAUUAUAGCUUUGAGCCACGUUUCAGAAGUUGUUAAAACUUCCAAAUAGAAUUUUAUAAGUAGCUGAAUAUCGUCAGAGUAGUCUAAAAAUACUCUAAAAAUUGCUAGGUGGCCACCACGGAUAGUUGGCUAUAAGAGAGGAAAGUCAAAAUAGUUGAAUCGUAAAAAUUUAUGAUAGCUCUUUAUUGAUUUUUAGUUCGAAUAUUUAGGUAACACCAGUGAAAAUUAACAGAAAGUUAAGGUAUACUAACAUGCCGGUGGAGCUGAUUAAAUGUUAAAGGGUACCCGUUAAUCACAGUUGUGUGUCUGUGUCUAAAGGCAGGGUACUCCUAUCAACCAUUAAGGAAAUUUAAAACUAAUGAUUUGAGGGUGUACAAUAUACUUAUUAUAAUUGCUAGGUUUUGUUUGUAGUAAACGUUGGGUUUCAGGGUAUUUCCAUGUUUACAGAGAAAAGAUAUCUUAAAGGUGUACACUCACGGAAUAUUAGGAGUUUUAUUUUCCGAGUUUUAAUUAAACACGUGAAUUCUUUAGAUAAAGAGAUCUUUAAUAUGUCUCAUAUAGUAUGUAACACGACUGUAAAAGGGUGGUAUAACCUUUGACCUCUAUCACGGCUUUCUCCUUGUGUUCUGAUUAGCUUCGAGGGAGGGCCAUUUGGAUAAUGAAUUUGUGGUCAUUUGUGAUACUGAUAUUAAGGUAAAUUUAAUAACUGAUAAUUAUUUGCGAGUUUAUAGUUCCUUGCCAUAGUUAUAAAUUGAACCAAUGAGAAGAAAGAAAGGGCAUAGCCUUGGUCUAAGGGCAGACUUUCUUGAGUCUCUCCCAAUGGCCAUAAGGGUACCAUAAGUUCUCUUUGUGGAGGGUUCUAGAGUAGUAACUGUGGUCUGGUCAUGUUAUUUGAAACUGUUGUUUUUAUCUUUUGACCGGUAGUAGUAUUUUUUAUAUAUAUGGCACUCCGGGAGAAUAUUGGCUUAGAAGAAUCCCCGGCAGUGGAGGGACUCAAGGCCCUGUAUAAUCAGUGGAAUGCGUCCCGAGAUAAGCCGUACCAUUACACAGAACUUAGUAGGGUGGGGGCGAGCAGAGCAGAGCAGAGAAAUAGGAGUGACACAGACUGGGUUACGGUUACUGAGGGGAGACAGAGGGAAUGAAAAACUUAGUUGAUUUCAGGAACUAAGGGGCAGCACUGAUAACUUUUAAAGUAGAUAAGACACUGAACAGAGAAUUGUUAGGUUGAUCCAGUAUUGAUACAAGGGCGGAGCCAAGUAUCAAAGGGGGGAUGGAAGAGGACACUUUGUGGCCUAUCAGAUAAUAAUAAUAAACAAAAAAAAUGUUUUAUAUAUAUAUAUAUAUAUAUAUAGCGUUCCCAACUUACUUGGCGGACACGAGUAUGGUAACUGAAAAAUUAGGUCAAGAUAUUCUUCCUAGUUGGGUUCCUAGGAUAAUAAUGGAUGACAUUCUAGCUAAUCAAAUAGAACAGAAUGACAGAGGUUCUAGCAGAACACAUUAAAAAACUGUUAAUUAACCAAACCCGUAUGUCCAAGAUUUUAUACUCUACAGGAGAACUACAGGAGGGGAUUACCGACAUGAUUGGGCCAGGGGACUGGGUCUGGGUCCAAUCACCUAAGAAAAAGGACUGGAAGCAGCUACGGUGGGAGGGGCAAUACCAAGCACUCCUAGGGACUGCAUUCGCAGUGAGAAUAGCUGAAAGAGCUACCUGGGUGCAUGUCAGACUUGUAGGAGGGUAGGACACACUGACACUGUCGAACAAUCACAGGGGUAGGAGCAGAACCGAUCAACAGGAUACGGGGGUUAAACUCCUACUGAAGAUUCCCUUAUACCCGACCUUUCCCCGCUGUGAGCGUUCAUAGAAGUGAAAGUAUGGCUUGGCCUCUGGCUGUUGAUAUGUUCUCUGGGAGAGGGUGGGGCUUUACAGGGGCGCUGAUUGGUCUGAGCUGUCUUAUUGUGGGAGCCAUAUUCCUAAUACACCACACCCCACCUGAGUAUGCAGAAGGUGGUAACUUGACCCAUGGUUUCGAUGAUGAGAAUUUUGUAUUAACCAAGCAUAAGAGAUCCCUUGAUCUGGAUAGACAGGAAGUUAGAGUGGAGGUUAGGAAGGAUGUCUCAAUGGAGUUUUAUGUAACAAAUUGGGGUCUCUGACUCCUGGGCAGUCUAGAACUAAGAGCCAUUAUAGAAUAUAUCUGUGUAGGUCCCCGUGUGGUUCAUGGACACAGGUCAUAGCUCACACACAGAGAGAGAGGGCUAUGUAAACCCAUACAUCCAAUUUAGGAACAGAUGGAGUAUAGUAAGGGUUGGAGUUUCUGACUGUGUUCCCGAGCAGACAAAGUAUUUUAUAAAGGUACGAAUUAACAUUAAAACGGUAAAGUCCCAGGAUUUCGGGUUAUGGUAUGUUGGCUUCGACCAGUUUUCAACUGAUACUAUGGUACUAUUCCAGGUGGCAGAGGUUAGAGCUGGUAAGGAGACUAUAGUCGGCCAGAGUUCAAUUCAUCUCCCUAACACCACGGACAUUCCUAGUAUAAACAUCCAUAAAGGACCUGUACGAAUAGUUCAGACAGUUACCUUAAAGAAGUGAUAGAGGUGGAGACUGGGUUUGGGGAUUCCAACUUUGGUUAAAAGGUAUUCAAUAUACAGCCAGAUCAGUAGCGAAAGAAGAAUGUUAAUGUCUGUGCUACUGCCAAACCACAGCUGUGUCACGAUCGUGUGGAGGAUUGACGGACCAAAACGCAGCAGUAGGAAAAUAAGCCAUAUUCCUUUUAAUGAAUAUGAAGGCAAAACGAAACAAAAACACUUAUACACUAAACAAAACAAGAAAACGAUCGUGAAGCUAAGAACGAAGUGCACACACAAGCUACAAACGUAUAACAUAGACAAUUACCCACAUCAAAUGAAAGCCUAUGGCUACCCUAAAUAUGGCUCCCAAUCAGAGACAACAGAAAUCAGCUGUCUCUAAUUGGGAACCCAUCCAGGUAACCAUAGACUCUCCUAGACAACUAAACCAACAUAGACAACGCUAGACACAUGCACUCAACACAAACCCAUACACUACACCCAACACCCCCUUUACCAUAUAACCACCCAAAACCUAUAAAACACAAACAUUCCCCAUGUCACACCCUGACCUAACUAAAAUAAUAAAGAAAACAAAUAAUACUAAGGCCAGGGCGUGACAAGCUGACCACCAUCUCCUUUCCAUUUGAUGGAAUUGAUAUACUCAGGGGAAUGGCCUGUAUGAUAAAGCUGUUCAUGAAGGCAGGGAAGCCAUACAAUGACAGUUGCUUUGAUCUGAAUAACCUUUAUCCCCAUGUGCCCAUUACCUCCAUUCCUCCUUUCACAGUUACAGAAGGACACUAUUAUUGUAGGGCCUGGCACAUUACAAACGGAUGGGAUGAAGAGGAAGUAAGAACUGACUGGAUGGUUGACUUCUGGGGAUUUCAGUAAGAUAAAAAGGCCCAGAGCGGAUGUGUGGUUGUUAUGUGAAGGGAUGAGGUUGUGGCCUGUCCUGCCUACCAAUUGGACCGAACUCUAUUGAUCUUUUGACAAUAGUAUUUACAUAGGAUAGUAUUGGAUAUGUUAUUGGCUGAAAAGGGUGGCGUGUGCGUCUUAUUCGGAGCAGAAUGUUGCACAUUUAUUCCUGAUAACACGGCUCCAGACGGAUCAGUGACCUAGGCCCUGACGGGUUUAACCACCUUAACUCACGAAUUAGCAGAAACUUAUGGGGUAGAUACUCCCCUGACUAAUUGGUUUGACAGUAUGUUUGGAAAAUGGAAAAUUGUCAUAAUCACUGUGUUGUGGGCCAAUUUCACCUGUAUGAGUGUUUUGAUUCUGUAUGAAUGCUGUUUGAUUCUGGGUGUGAAAGGUCUCAUUUCCAGGACUCUGGAGAAAUCAAGGACAAUAUUGAUGAUAAGGAUACGGACCGAUUCCAAGUUCUGACCAGUGGGAGGAUGAAUACUGGUUCCCCGACCGAGGAUGGAUCCGGCUACUUUGAGACAUUAUAAAUAUUAGGUCCCGUCUUGUGUUGAUGAUUUUUAUGUUAGACUGUUUCUUUGAUGAAGAUUAUAGUUAUGAUUCUGAUAUAGGCCUGGAAUAACCAUUGUAAAUACAUAUAUUGAUGUAAUUGUAAGAUGUUGUGGUUGAUUUAGGUUGUAUUUUUUAAAACAAGAAAUAUUUCUAAUAAAAAUAGAAUUGUGCUUUUUAAUAUUACUAAUAAAACUAGAAGUACGAUUAAAGGUAUAAUAUUUAGUCAUAGGGUGGAUAUGUUAUGGGAUUUUUGUGUUUAAUGACUAAAAUAUGUAUACAUUUGACUUAGAUGUUACUGUAUGAAUGAAACUUAUUAUAAUCAUAAUGCUGAAUAUUAUGUGUUCCUUAUUAGAAAGAAUGGAGUUAUCUUCAGACAGGCUGGAAUGCUGUGUUCCUUACAGGACAUUUUGUCUCUACCCAGGGAGGGAAAAGACCUUGGGUUGGUUGCAGAUAGUUUAACAGGUGGCAGACAGUAAUGAGAACUCUAACUAUACUGCCAUUGUAUUCUAGAGGAGGAUGGACAUUAAAACCUAUGACAUCAUCUUUAUUAUAUAACCUGAUGUAAAUUGUACUAUGAUUCAGUACUCUCGAGAAUAAACGCUAUUGAUUGAUUGAUUUUAA